RNAcentral lists this transfer RNA (74 nucleotides) under Candidatus Aenigmatarchaeota archaeon. RNAcentral describes it as "tRNA-His". It matches the Rfam family "tRNA". From Rfam's summary of the family: Transfer RNA (tRNA) molecules are approximately 80 nucleotides in length. Their secondary structure includes four short double-helical elements and three loops (D, anti-codon, and T loops). The record is from RNAcentral. Lineage: Archaea; Nanobdellati; Candidatus Aenigmatarchaeota.
GCCAUGAUGGUGUAGCUUGGUUAGCACAAAGGACUGUGGAUCCUUUAGGCUGGGUUCAAAUCCCAGUCAUGGCC